CGCGCGUUCGGUUAUGGGUAGGCCCUCGCCCUUUCAAGGCGGUGAAGCGGGUUCGAGCCCCGCACGCGCGACCA
This 74-nucleotide transfer RNA is filed under the name Micromonospora sp. WMMD812. RNAcentral describes it as "tRNA-Glu". It matches the Rfam family "tRNA". From Rfam's summary of the family: Transfer RNA (tRNA) molecules are approximately 80 nucleotides in length. Their secondary structure includes four short double-helical elements and three loops (D, anti-codon, and T loops). Lineage: Bacteria; Bacillati; Actinomycetota; Actinomycetes; Micromonosporales; Micromonosporaceae. RNAcentral also lists the same sequence under 1 other name. The record is from RNAcentral.